UUCUUAUCAAGAGAGGCAGAGGGACUGGCCCUAUGAAGCCUCAGCAACCGGUUCAAAACGAGUGAAGAUCUCGUAACCGUUGAUUUGCGUAUUUUUGAGAA
Molecule: non-coding RNA, 101 nt
Filed under: Metabacillus litoralis
Lineage: Bacteria; Bacillati; Bacillota; Bacilli; Caryophanales; Bacillaceae
Description: Bacillus litoralis SAM-I sequence
Rfam family: SAM riboswitch aptamer (S box leader)
About the family: The SAM riboswitch is found upstream of a number of genes which code for proteins involved in methionine or cysteine biosynthesis in Gram-positive bacteria. The SAM riboswitch acts at the level of transcription termination control.
Source: Rfam by way of RNAcentral